GAAACGGUGUUUUUAAAAGAAGAAAGAAAGUACAAUCCUAAGAAAGAAAAACCCAGAGACUUCCUUGUUUCAAAAUGGCCAGAGACAAUGCUGAAACAGCGAGAUGCAAAAAAAUCCUGAGCCUUCAAAGCCAGAUCGUGCAGAAGAGAAAGGGCCUGUCAGCUGAGCUGGAUGCUUCAGGAGCAGAGGAUCUAUCAACUGCAGACCAGGCAUAGGGAGACGCAGGCAGACCUGGAACAGAAACCCAGCCCGCUCCAGCCGCUCUGACAGAACUUGGUAGCCGGAUGGUCGGCAGCAGGACACAUGCCACGGGCCACAGGGCAGGAAAUGACCCAAUCCUCGAGGUCUGGAGAUCUUUCAGAUAUGCCAGUGACUGUAAGAAGAACAGGUCUGGUUUAAAGUAUGGGCAUAUAAGAGGCAGGAAGGGACUCCAGGAAAAGCUUCUGUUUAUAGCAUAAUCGGUAAGAAUCAUUUCUUUUAUCUAUGGCUAUAAACAUUUGCAUAACUAAACUUACCACAAAAAUUAUAUUAUCUAAAGCUAAUAUAUGUUGACAUGCUAUCAUUUUUCUAUGCUUCUAUAUUAGAUUUAACCAGUGCUUUAUUUCAAAUAAAAUCUUAAUUUAUUACAGAACUUAGCAUGAUAAUCAUUGAUAAGAAUAACAAGUCUUUUAUAACAAAAGCCAAAAUUCACAUGUUCAUAGCAGUUCAUCUUUGCAGCCUGAAUAACUUUUCAUCCCACAAACAGGCACCAGCUAUGUGAUAGUCUUUUGAGCCCUUGGGUUGGCUUUUCCAAAUGAAGUUAAGGAAUUGGAUUAUCAGAAGUCUUCAGCUUCUCACACCAUAAUUAAGGCUUCAGUCCAUCAGUUCUCUCUCUCUCUUCAAACAGAAAGACCAAAUUUGGAAGUCAGUCUAAUGACUAGCAUAUCCAAGUGAAUAUCUGCACAUUGUAUCAUUUACCUAUGGCA
Molecule: long non-coding RNA, 965 nt
Organism: Odocoileus virginianus texanus
Lineage: Eukaryota; Metazoa; Chordata; Mammalia; Artiodactyla; Cervidae
Source: RefSeq, a predicted model, not a curated record